UGGGGAUGACGUCAAGUCAUCAUCGGCCCUUACGGCCUGGGCUACACACGUGCUACAAUGGUCGGUACAAAGGGUUGCCAAGCCGCGAGGUGGAGCUAAUCCCAAUAAAACCGAUCGUAGUCCGGAUCGCAGUCUGCAACUCGACUGCGUGAAGUCGGAAUCGCUAGUAAUCGUGAAUCAGAAUGUCACGGUGAAUACGUUCCCGGGCCUU
RNAcentral lists this ribosomal RNA (211 nucleotides) under uncultured Pseudomonas sp. RNAcentral's name for it is "partial 16S ribosomal RNA". It matches the Rfam family "Bacterial small subunit ribosomal RNA", at positions 1174 to 1382 of the family's 1533-position model. Lineage: Bacteria; Pseudomonadati; Pseudomonadota; Gammaproteobacteria; Pseudomonadales; Pseudomonadaceae. The record is from RNAcentral.